Long non-coding RNA from Rattus norvegicus (Norway rat), 2404 nucleotides. RefSeq lists it as uncharacterized. The record is from RefSeq and is a predicted model, not a curated record. NCBI's taxonomy places the organism in Eukaryota, Metazoa, Chordata, Mammalia, Rodentia, Muridae.
GAGAGAGAGAGAGAGAGAGAGAGAGAACGGGAGAGAGAGACCGAGAAAGAACAAGAAAGAGAGAAUGAGAGAGAGACAGAGAGAGACAGAGAGACAGAGAGAGACAGAGAGAGAGAGAGAGAGAGAGAGAGAGAGAGAGAGAGAGAGAGAGAGAGAGACUGAGACUGGUGCGGAAUGUUGGUUCCAGCAGGUCGGGUGUUGGACAGAUUCCCUGGAUGAGAAAUCAAAACUAGAGUCUAGCUGGGAGAAUUACUUACAGUCCUUUGUGCUAAGGAUUGCAAUGCGACUCUGAAGUUCCCUCUUCCAGCUAGCGAGAAUGGUCGUUGCCGGUCGUCUGGAGAGCCCAGCGCGCUAGAACUGUUUGGGAGAAAUAGGGAGGGGGCGCCGUCGUGUACGCCGCUUUUCCACCCACCCUCGCCUAAUCAGGCGGCUCUCAAUCAGGUUUUCAACAUACUAAUCUUGAUCUAAGAGCUCCUAUCUCUGCAUAAGUGGAGGGAAUGAUUCGUUUUUAGAGGCUUCUGGGCUUAGAGAAGGAGAAUGUCAGACUGGAGUCAAAAGAGCUGGUCUGGCCUGGCGUCCGUCUUGCUCCGGGCGCCGGGAGGGACAAUGACAUUACCGGCGGUAAUUGCCUGUGUCCAGCGCGCUCUCUGGGCUACCCUGUGGUGGGAAAAUAAAUCGGCCGUGCCUUGCUGGUGCCUUCCCAUUGGACUGAAAUUUCUAGAAGCCACUGUUCAUCAAAUGAAAACCAGAAAGGAAGGCCCACUAGGAGGUCGGCCAAAACUCUGGAUUCCCUGGCUCUGUCCAAGGAAUGAAUGGACUAGGAAAGAAAGCUACGUCUGAUCCGGUCCGGGGCUCUGCGGCUCUCAUGCAAGCUCGGAGGCACUAAGUGUGUCCCGCUAAAACCCUGGGGUGGGGUGCAGGAAAGAGUCCUGCCAGGCCUUGGUCCAGGACUGGAGAAAGAGAGAACCCUGAUCUACCUGACAUCCAGAGCUUCCUCCUUGGCGAAGAGCUGCCUAAUUGGACGGUAAGCUGCUGCGAAAUUUGCGGUCUUCUAAUAUCCCUUUUCCUCCUCCUUGGCAGUUCCUAUCAAAGCCAUAAAACCAAUAUUUUCACACCCGGCUCGCAAGGCAGGAGCCGUUUACGGACAUCCUGCAUCAAUGAUGUGGAAAAAGGCUGCAUUGGACAGAGGUCUCUGGAGGUCGAUAUUUAAAAAGCAAUAGAUCCGAAUUAGAAAAUUAUUAUUUUAAGUUGUGAAAAAAAAAAACCCGCCAGUUUAACUAUAGAACUCUGCGCGUCUGAACUUCUUGGGCUAACUACACUUUUGAAGGAACUUAUACCGGUGCUUGAGCAAAAAAGCAGGUCCUCGGCUUUAAUUGUUGCCAUCUCGGGGGCUUCAAUCUGCCAGAAGGCUGGCAAGGACUCACAAAAUCCUAGGCUAGAUGUGGCUGGAUCUCGGGAGAAGCCUCAGCGAAGUAGUUACAGGGGCCCAACCAAAGUCUAGCUUGGUUGCACAGCACUUUCUCCAACCUAAGACCGGAAGGAUUCACUUCCCUGUACCAUGCCAAGGCACAGGCGACCCAAGGAUUUUCUGCUUCAAUAGGAGAAUGUGUGACCUUGGCUUCCAAGAAGGAACUGUCAAUGUCCCUGAUGUGAACGAUCAGUUAUGAUCACUCUGAAACUGAGACUCCUGGUUGUUGGUGGCUGUUUUUGGAUCGAUGCCCACCUCGUGUGUUCAUGGGAGUCUGGAAAAGUGAUUGGAGAAAAGAGAGUGUCCCGAGGUUUUGUUUUGUUGCUAAAAAGUGUGAGGCUAGGAAUCUGCAUCUGCACUCAGUGGCAUAAAGCAUGAAACUCGCUCACCUUGGGACUUAAAGUGGAUCCAGAAAAACAGAGGUGAGAAUAUUCUGGAAAGUGAAGGUCACCAAGAAGGUGAAUGCCUGAAUUCCGGGUUCCGAGAACUUCCGGCACUCGGGGCUGAGAGCCUGGGGGUAGGGUAGGUGUGAGUGACUUUCUCUAGGCACCCUGGUGUGCAGAACAAUGCGGCUCUCCUUGACUCUGCCAGAAGCCUCCAGGUCUUGCUGAAGACAAACUCUGGAGAUCCAAGGUGGGAGAGGCCGGUUCUGCUUAACCAACCAGCAUGGGAGCAGAGAGGUUCUUGGUAGAGAACCAGGAACACCCCCCCCCCGUGCCCCCCAGUGCCCACUAAAUGGGCAGUGAAAUGAACAGAGACAUGAAGGGGGGGGGGCAUCGGGAGCCUGAAGUUAGUGGAGGAGGCAGCCUUUGGGACACCGUUUACACAGUGUGACAUUCUCAAGUCCACAGUCUCACCUAAAGUACGCCUGUGGUUUGAAGCCUUGGUGUUUUGUGCCUUUUGUCGUGACCAAUAAACCAGGAACCUCGGAAACUU